AUGACGCAUGGAGCGCGGAGACAGGUGGUGCAUGGCUGUCGUCAGCUCGUGUCGUGAGAUGUUGGGUUAAGUCCCGCAACRAGCGCAACCCUCACCCCUUGUUGCYAYCAGGUNAWGCUGGGCACUCUAGGGGAACUGCCCCGGUCAACGGGGAGGAAGGYGGGGAUGACGUCAAGUCAUCAUGCCCCUUACGYCCUGGGCUACACACGUGCUACAAUGGCCGGUACAAAGGGAUGCNACRCCGCRAGGKRGAGCYAAACCCAAAAAGCCGGUCUAAGUUCAGAUUGGAGUCUGCAACUCGACUCCAUGAAGGAGGAAUCGCUAGUAAUCGCGUAUCAGCACGACGCGGUGAAUACGUUCCCGGGCCUUGUACACACCGCCCGUCACACCACRAAAGCCAGCUGUACUCRAAGUCGCUAAGA
RNAcentral lists this ribosomal RNA (422 nucleotides) under uncultured Methylomirabilota bacterium. RNAcentral's name for it is "uncultured candidate division NC10 bacterium partial 16S ribosomal RNA". It matches the Rfam family "Bacterial small subunit ribosomal RNA", at positions 1014 to 1435 of the family's 1533-position model. Lineage: Bacteria; Methylomirabilota (SeqCode). The record is from RNAcentral.